RNAcentral lists this ribosomal RNA (640 nucleotides) under Bacillus sp. JSM 081023. RNAcentral describes it as "bacterial SSU rRNA". It matches the Rfam family "Bacterial small subunit ribosomal RNA", at positions 1 to 637 of the family's 1533-position model. The record is from RNAcentral. Lineage: Bacteria; Bacillati; Bacillota; Bacilli; Caryophanales; Bacillaceae.
GCAAUUCCUUAUAGGGGCGUUAAAGGGGGGGCGGUCUAAUACAUGCAGUCGAGCGGACAGAAGGGAGCUUGCUCCCGGAUGUUAGCGGCGGACGGGUGAGUAACACGUGGGUAACCUGCCUGUAAGACUGGGAUAACUCCGGGAAACCGGAGCUAAUACCGGAUAGUUCCUUGAACCGCAUGGUUCAAGGAUGAAAGACGGUUUCGGCUGUCACUUACAGAUGGACCCGCGGCGCAUUAGCUAGUUGGUGAGGUAACGGCUCACCAAGGCGACGAUGCGUAGCCGACCUGAGAGGGUGAUCGGCCACACUGGGACUGAGACACGGCCCAGACUCCUACGGGAGGCAGCAGUAGGGAAUCUUCCGCAAUGGACGAAAGUCUGACGGAGCAACGCCGCGUGAGUGAUGAAGGUUUUCGGAUCGUAAAGCUCUGUUGUUAGGGAAGAACAAGUGCAAGAGUAACUGCUUGCACCUUGACGGUACCUAACCAGAAAGCCACGGCUAACUACGUGCCAGCAGCCGCGGUAAUACGUAGGUGGCAAGCGUUGUCCGGAAUUAUUGGGCGUAAAGGGCUCGCAGGCGGUUUCUUAAGUCUGAUGUGAAAGCCCCCGGCUCAACCGGGGAGGGUCAUUGGAAACUGGG